GCGUACGGGUGAGUAACACGUGGAUCAUCUACCUCUUAGUGGGGAAUAACCCUGGGAAACCGGGGCUAAUACCGCAUAAGCCUGUGAAGGGAAAGCAGAAAUGCGCUGAGAGAGGAGUCCGCGGCCGAUUAGCUAGUUGGUAGGGUAAAGGCCUACCAAGGCAAUGAUCGGUAGCCGGCCUGAGAGGGCACACGGCCACACUGGCACUGAAACACGGGCCAGACUCCUACGGGAGGCAGCAGUGGGGAAUCUUGCACAAUGGAGGAAACUCUGAUGCAGCGACGCCGCGUGAGCGAUGAAGCCCUUCGGGGUGUAAAGCUCUUUCGACGGGAACGAUAAUGACGGUACCCGGAGAAGAAGCUGCGGCUAACUACGUGCCAGCAGCCGCGGUAAUACGUAGGCAGCAAGCGUUGUUCGGAAUUACUGGGCGUAAAGAGUGUGUAGGCGGUUCUCUAUGUUCGGUGUGAAAUCUCCCGGCUUAACUGGGAGGGUGCGCCGAAAACUGGAGGGCUUGAGUAUGGGAGAGGAAAGCGGAAUUCCUGGUGUAGCGG
This 551-nucleotide ribosomal RNA is filed under the name uncultured bacterium. RNAcentral's name for it is "bacterial SSU rRNA". It matches the Rfam family "Bacterial small subunit ribosomal RNA", at positions 98 to 681 of the family's 1533-position model. The record is from RNAcentral.